This 1047-nucleotide ribosomal RNA is filed under the name Triticum aestivum (bread wheat). Its description in RNAcentral is "partial small subunit ribosomal RNA". Lineage: Eukaryota; Viridiplantae; Streptophyta; Magnoliopsida; Poales; Poaceae. The record is from RNAcentral.
AUGUCUGAGCCUUCUCUUGGAUCAGGAGACAAUCGAAAUGACACAGAAGUUGAGGUCAAUGGCAAAGAGAGAGCAAAGAAAGGAGGAAAAAGGAAAAAGGCAGCAGUGGAUACUACUAAGGUGAAGGUGAAGAAAACGAAACUUAAAUGUGCAGAAUGUUGGCAGCAUUUCAAGGAGGUCAAGGCUGUAAGUAAGAGGAUGCCAGGGGCGGUUGUUACGAAGGCAAAAUGUUUGCAUUGUGCUAAAUUGUUUUCUUAUACUCCUGGGGGAUCAACUACUAGUCUCAAUAGGCAUAAAGAUGUUUGUUCAGUCUAUCUAAACAAGAAGGGAAGGCAACUACAGCAAGGUACAAUCAACUUUGAUCCUGAAAAGCCAGGUGCAUCUCUCAUAGUAAACCAUGAAUACAAUCAUGCGGAAGUCGUUAAGAUCAUAGCAAAGAUGAUAAUUGUGCAUGAUUAUCCCUUUAGAAUGGUAGAGCAUGCUUGGUUCAAUAUCCUCAUGAGGUAUAUGAAUGUGUCCUACAAGUUCAUUGGUCGGAAGAAGAUUAGAGCUGAAUGCAUGAAGCUUUAUCUUUCCAAGAAAGAAAUCCUUAAAAAGCAACUUAAGUCUGUUGAAAGCAUUAGUUUGACAUGUGAUCUAUGGACUUCAAACCAAACUCUCUCAUACCUAGCUGUGGUCGCUCACUACAUAGAUGAUGAUUGGGUCAUGCAAUGUCGUGUUUUAGACUUCAUAGAGCUAGAUCCACCUCACUCGGGUAGUGUCAUAGCUCAAGCAGUUUUUGAGUGUUGCCAAGAAUGGAAAAUAGAAGAUAAGAUCAUGACAAUCACUAUGGAUAAUGCUUCCUCAAAUGAUAAUGCUGCCAAGAGAUUGAUGGACAAGAUCAUUGCUAGGAAAUCGGCUAAAUUUAUUCCUAAGUACUUCCAUGUUCGCUGCUGUGCGCACAUUGUCAAUUUGAUAGUGAAUGAUGGCAUUGCUCUAUUGCAAACUUUGAUCAAUAAGCUUAGGGAUACUGUCAAGUAUUUGAAAAAAUCCCCAACAUGCAUGUAA